Molecule: ribosomal RNA, 461 nt
Filed under: uncultured bacterium
Lineage: Bacteria
Description: partial 16S ribosomal RNA
Rfam family: Bacterial small subunit ribosomal RNA
Source: RNAcentral
CCUACGGGUGGCAGCAGUGAGGAAUAUUGGUCAAUGGGCGGAAGCCUGAACCAGCCAAGUCGCGUGAGGGAAUAAGGCCCUACGGGUCGUAAACCUCUUUUGCCGGGGAGCAAGGGCGGGGACGUGUCCCGGCCCGGAGAGUACCCGGAGAAAAAGCAUCGGCUAACUCCGUGCCAGCAGCCGCGGUAAUACGGAGGAUCCGAGCGUUAUCCGGAUUUAUUGGGUUUAAAGGGUGCGUAGGCGGCCUUUUAAGUCAGCGGUGAAAGUCUGUGGCUCAACCAUAGAAUUGCCGUUGAAACUGGGGGGCUUGAGUAUGUUUGAGGCAGGCGGAAUGCGUGGUGUAGCGGUGAAAUGCUUAGAUAUCACGCAGAACCCCGAUUGCGAAGGCAGCCUGCCAAGCCAUGACUGACGCUGAUGCACGAAAGCGUGGGGAUCAAACAGGAUUAGAUACCCUUGUAGUC